Molecule: ribosomal RNA, 102 nt
Filed under: Microcebus murinus (gray mouse lemur)
Lineage: Eukaryota; Metazoa; Chordata; Mammalia; Primates; Cheirogaleidae
Source: RNAcentral
GUCCACAGCCAUACCACCCUGACCGUGCCUGAAGCUAAGUAGGGUCCGGCCUGGUUACUAUUUGGGUGGGAGACCGCCUCAGAAUACCGACUGCUGUAGGCU